AGGGGCGGACCCAGCUAAAAAAUUAAGUGGGUGCAAAGUGACAGUUUUAGGAAUCGAACUCACCAUCUCCCAUAUAUUAUGAGUGUAAACAUAACCAUUUUGCUACAUUAACUAUUAUGUACAAAGUAAAAUUUUUAACAUUUUAUAAGUUACUGGUGGCAGCUGCCACCACCACCUAUAACGUGGGUCCGCCCCUGCAC
Molecule: long non-coding RNA, 200 nt
Filed under: Capsella grandiflora
Lineage: Eukaryota; Viridiplantae; Streptophyta; Magnoliopsida; Brassicales; Brassicaceae
Description: long non-coding RNA (CGRA_LNC001035)
Source: RNAcentral